This 295-nucleotide ribosomal RNA is filed under the name Escherichia coli. RNAcentral describes it as "partial 23S ribosomal RNA". It matches the Rfam family "Bacterial large subunit ribosomal RNA", at positions 2636 to 2925 of the family's 2925-position model. Lineage: Bacteria; Pseudomonadati; Pseudomonadota; Gammaproteobacteria; Enterobacterales; Enterobacteriaceae. The record is from RNAcentral.
CCCUAUCUGCCGUGGGCGCUGGAGAACUGAGGGGGGCUGCUCCUAGUACGAGAGGACCGGAGUGGACGCAUCACUGGUGUUCGGGUUGUCAUGCCAAUGGCACUGCCCGGUAGCUAAAUGCGGAAGAGAUAAGUGCUGAAAGCAUCUAAGCACGAAACUUGCCCCGAGAUGAGUUCUCCCUGACUCCUUGAGAGUCCUGAAGGAACGUUGAAGACGACGACGUUGAUAGGCCGGGUGUGUAAGCGCAGCGAUGCGUUGAGCUAACCGGUACUAAUGAACCGUGAGGCUUAACCUU